RNAcentral lists this transfer RNA (67 nucleotides) under Carterocephalus silvicola (northern checquered skipper). RNAcentral describes it as "tRNA-Glu". The record is from RNAcentral. Lineage: Eukaryota; Metazoa; Arthropoda; Insecta; Lepidoptera; Hesperiidae.
AUUUAUAUAGUUUAUUAUAAAACCUUACAUUUUCAAUGUAAAAAUAAAAUACUAAUUUUUAUAAAUA